UACGAAGGGGGCUAGCGUUGCUCGGAAUCACUGGGCGUAAAGCGCACGUAGACGGCUUCUUAAGUCAGGGGUGAAAUCCUGGAGCUCAACUCCAGAACUGCCCUUGAUACUGAGGAGCUUGAGUCCGGGAGAGGUGAGUGGAACUGCGAGUGUAGAGGUGAAAUUCGUAGAUAUUCGCAAGAACACCAGUGGCGAAGGCGGCUCACUGGCCCGGUACUGACGCUGAGGUGCGAAAGCGUGGGGAGCAAACAGG
This 253-nucleotide ribosomal RNA is filed under the name uncultured bacterium. RNAcentral's name for it is "partial 16S ribosomal RNA". It matches the Rfam family "Bacterial small subunit ribosomal RNA", at positions 524 to 776 of the family's 1533-position model. The record is from RNAcentral.